CAAUAGCGUAUAUUAAAGUUGUUGCAGUUAAAAAGCUCGUAGUUGGAUUUCUGGUAGGAGUGACCGUUCCGAACUUGAUUGUUCGUGUAUUGUGUUUUCUCCAGCCAUCCUUGUGGAGAACUUUUCUUGCAUUAAUUUGUAGGGAUUGGGACCCGCAUCGUUUACUGUGAAAAAAUUAGAGUGUUUAAAGCAGGCAAUCGCUUGAAUACAUUAGCAUGGAAUAAUAAGAUAGGACUUUGGUACUAUUUUGUUGGUUUGCAUACCAAAUUAAUGAUCAACAGGAACAGUUUGAGGAUAUUCGUAUGAACAUGUCAGAGGUGAAAUUCUUGGAUUUUGAUCAAACGAACUACUGCGAAAGCAUUUAUCAAGGAUGUUUUCAUUAA
RNAcentral lists this ribosomal RNA (383 nucleotides) under uncultured eukaryote. Its description in RNAcentral is "partial 18S ribosomal RNA". It matches the Rfam family "Eukaryotic small subunit ribosomal RNA", at positions 592 to 976 of the family's 1831-position model. The record is from RNAcentral.